GUGGCAAAUAUAGGUUCAGAACAAAAGCAACAGUACCACAAAAGCAAUAUGAACAGCAACAUUUCCAAGGCAGUGGCAAAUAUAGGUUUAGAACAAAAGCAAGAUUCAGUCAAAUACCAGGAUAGAUUUCUCAUAUAUUUGCAAUCAGAAAUUGCAAAGAUGAACAGCAACAGUACCACAAACCACGCUACUUCUUACACAAAUAAUCAGACGACUACAGUUGGAGAUCGACGCCCGGCAAUUUAUAUCCCGCGCACGGCAACCCAACCAGCCCAGCUCCGGCGAGGACGCAACCGUCGGCGUUGCCCUUGGCCUCGCCACGCUAAUUAAAAUCACGCGGCCGCGAGCCGGAGUCCAGAUCGAGUCUCGCGCGCCUAGGUGAGGGGUUUCGACACCGCGAA
This 401-nucleotide long non-coding RNA is filed under the name Sorghum bicolor (sorghum). Its description in RNAcentral is "long non-coding RNA (SBIC_LNC002367)". Lineage: Eukaryota; Viridiplantae; Streptophyta; Magnoliopsida; Poales; Poaceae. The record is from RNAcentral.